RNAcentral lists this ribosomal RNA (301 nucleotides) under uncultured bacterium. Its description in RNAcentral is "partial 16S ribosomal RNA". It matches the Rfam family "Bacterial small subunit ribosomal RNA", at positions 509 to 809 of the family's 1533-position model. The record is from RNAcentral.
CAGUAGCCGCGGUAAUACGGAGGGAGCUAGCGUUGUUCGGAAUUACUGGGCGUAGAGCGCACGUAGGCGGCUUUGUAAGUUAGAGGUGAAAGCCUGGAGCUCAACUCCAGAAUUGCCUUUAAGACUGCAUCGCUUGAAUCCGGGAGAGGUGAGUGGAAUUCCGAGUGUUGAGGUGAAAUUCGUAGAUAUUCGGAAGAACACCAGUGGCGAAGGCGGCUCACUGGACUGGUAUUGACGCUGAGGUGCGAAAGCGUGGGGAGCAAACAGGAUUAGAUACCCCCGUAGUCCCUGUCUCUUAUAA